GACAGAGGGGGGCAAGCGUUGCUCGGAAUCACUGGGCGUAAAGGGCGCGUAGGCGGGAUGGCAAGUCAGUCGUGAAAUCUCUCGGCUCAACCGAGAAACGUCGGCUGAUACUGCCGUUCUUGAGGGAUGCAGAGGAGACUGGAAUUCCCGGUGUAGCGGUGAAAUGUGUAGAGAUCGGGAGGAACACCGGUGGCGAAGGCGGGUCUCUGGGCAUUUCCUGACGCUGAGGCGCGAAAGCGUGGGGAGCAAACGGGG
Molecule: ribosomal RNA, 255 nt
Filed under: uncultured bacterium
Lineage: Bacteria
Description: partial 16S ribosomal RNA
Rfam family: Bacterial small subunit ribosomal RNA
Source: RNAcentral